Molecule: ribosomal RNA, 490 nt
Filed under: uncultured bacterium
Lineage: Bacteria
Description: partial 16S ribosomal RNA
Rfam family: Bacterial small subunit ribosomal RNA
Source: RNAcentral
AUUGAACGCUGGCGGCAGGCCUAACACAUGCAAGUCGAACGGUAGCAGGAAACAGCUUGCUGUUUCGCUGACGAGUGGCGGACGUGUGAGUAAUGUCUGUGAAACUGCCUGAUGGAGGGGGAUAACUACUGGAAACGGUAGCUAAUACCGCAUAACGUCGCAAGACCAAAGAGGGGGACCUUCGGGCCUCUUGCCAUCGGCUGUGCCUAGAUGGGAUUAGCUAGUAGGUGGGGUAACGGCUCACCUAGGCGACGAUCCCUAGCUGGUCUGAGAGGAUGACCAGCCACACUGGAACUGAGACACGGUCCAGACUCCUACGGGAGGCAGCAGUGGGGAAUAUUGCACAAUGGGCGCAAGCCUGAUGCAGCCAUGCCGCGUGUAUGAAGAAGGCCUUCGGGUUGUAAAGUACUUUCAGCGGGGAGGAAGGGAGUAAAGUUAAUACCUUUACUCAUUGACGUUACCCGCAGAAGAAGCACCGGCUAACUCCGUG